UACAGAGGAGCCAAGCGUUGUCCGGAUUGACUGGGCGUAAAGCGCACGCAGGCGGUCGCGCGCGUGGGGUGUGAAAUCUGGCCGCUUAACGGCCAGGCGCCAUUCCAUACGGCGCGACUGGAGUGAUGCAGAGGUCGAUGGAAUUGCCGGUGUAGUGGUGAAAUGCGUAGAGAUCGGCGGGAACACCCAGGGGGAAACCAGUCGACUGGGCAUCUACUGACGCUGAGGUGCGAGAGCGUGGGGAGCGAACCGG
Molecule: ribosomal RNA, 253 nt
Filed under: uncultured bacterium
Lineage: Bacteria
Description: partial 16S ribosomal RNA
Rfam family: Bacterial small subunit ribosomal RNA
Source: RNAcentral